This is a long non-coding RNA of Symphalangus syndactylus (siamang), 4720 nucleotides long. RefSeq lists it as uncharacterized. The record is from RefSeq and is a predicted model, not a curated record. NCBI's taxonomy places the organism in Eukaryota, Metazoa, Chordata, Mammalia, Primates, Hylobatidae.
UCUGGGGAGAAAGGCGGGGGCUGUGACGUGGGGGCUGAGGAAGGGCUAAGGCGGGAGGGGCGCCUCAUCCCUUCACCCUCCCUUUCGCUAUGUGGGGGCCCUGAGCGCCGCCCCAGAAGAGGUCGAGGGAAUGUUGUGGGCUGGGGCACACCGGCAGGGCAGAAACUGGAGAAAGCGAGAGACGUCGCCAGGCACCCAGGGACCUCUCCCUCCAGUUGCCCGGGCCCGCCCGGCCCUGCUCGCCACUCCCGCUAUAGCGCCCACUCUGUCCCGGGCCGUCCCGCGCCAGCAGUGUAGCCCCCAGCCCGGGCGCCUGAACGCUCUCCCUCCGGAUCGCUGCUCGGGUCCCCACUUUGGCGACCGUGCCCCCGAGUCCUGCUUCCCCGGGGCCUGCUCUAGAUCAGGCGCCUGCGCCUUCAAGGGUACCCGGCCCACAAAGGCCGAGUUUGCACUCCUCCCGGAAUCGUUUGAGAGGACAAACUUUUGAGAGGAUGGAAAUCUAGAGGAGCCGUCCGGAGCAGGAUUGAUGGAGUGACAGCAGUUUGGCAAGGCUUCCCUAAGCCUGUAAUAGGGAGCUGUGGACCCAGCCCUGACUUCUCAAGUAGGGGGAAACAGCUCUAUUCCCGGGCCCUUGAGAUUGAGUCUCAAGUUGAGAGGAGUUGAGAAAGAAAUGCAUGAAAGACGGCUGGGCUUACACAGGACAAAAACCUCUACUGGGGAGGGGCCAGUUUUAUGCCUUGUGCCUACUGCCGAGAGGGAAUUUAGAAACAAAGGAAGAUAAGAAGAAGGCCUAGGGAAACAGCAUAAAGGACUGGAAAAAUUCAGAACAACAAAGAGAAGAGACUGGGAGAGAGGAAAAGAUAUGAAAAGGCCCUAACGCUGGAGACAGAAAGAACAUUGGUCAUGGGAGGAAUGGGCUCCAGCAGCAGCACCUAGCAUCAUCAAGCACCUGCUCUCUGCCAGGCACUGUGCUGGGCACUAGGAACACAGAGAAGAGCAAGGAGGUCCAUGUCAUCAAGGCACUGACAGUCUGGAUGGGAAAAGAAACCACAGAUCUUUACAAAGCAAGGAUCAUAUCCUUUCCCUUCACAUCCAGAGAAGAGAAGAGGAUCCAUAAGGGGGCAUUCCCAGCUCCUUGAUGGUUUGCUGUGUGACUGUCCAAAAAUGUCUCUACAUCUCUGUUCUUCUGGCACUAUAAGCUGAAGUUGGUUCCCAAAGAUGGUUCCCAGGUCACGGGAAGAAUAGGAGAGGGAAUUUCAGAACCAAAUUUCUGUCUAAGAAAGAAACAAUUAUCUAAGAAAUUGUAAGUGGAAUUGGACUGAACGUGGAUGAGUCAGGGCUCUUGAAAAAGAAAGUGGCUAUCCCUCUUUUGAGUCAGUUCUGCAAGAGUGGACAGAAACUUUUCCAGACUCCCAGGCCUCUCUGCUCCCUCAGAGCUUGAAAAGAUUAAAGUCAUUCCUCCUCAAGGUCUUCACUGAAACCCUGGAAAUCUUUUCUUCGAUUUUAAGAGAUUACAGUUCUUCCCAUUGUCCAGCCUCAGUCACUACUUGCUGUAGCAUGAGGUGGCUUCCCUGGAAGAAAGUGUACCAGUCCCGCUCAUUGGUCCUCUAAGACCUCCCGACAUUCCUCAAGACACUUCUGCCUCAUGAUGUCAGAAGAAGGGCUGUCAAAUAGAUUUUAAAACCCCAGGCUCGGCCAGGCGCGGUGGCUCACGCUUGUAAUCCCAGCACUUUGGGGGAUCACGAGGGCAGGAGAUCGAGACCAUCCUGGCUAACACGAUGAAACCCUGUCUCUAAUAAAAAUGCAAAAAAUUAACUGGGCAUCCUGGCAGACGCCUGUAGUCCCAGCUACUCGGGAGGCUGAGGCAGGAGAAUGGCGCGAACCCAGGAGGCGGAGCUUGCAGUGAGCCGAGAUCACACCACUGCCUGGCCAACAGAGCGAGACUCCAUCUCAAAAAAAACGACUUGGCUCCUCACCUGUAUUGUGGGAAUCCCGGCUUAAAUUUGACACGUGGAUGUUGAGCAAUAGAGGACAGACAAACAAAGGAAUCUCCAAACCCUGCAGGACCCAAGGCAGCAGCCCACGAGUGGAUCCUAAAGGAUUUUCAUCAGCCGCACGUCUGGGAUAACUAGAGCCUGACCCACAUUCUCUACUCCAGAGACAGACAGACCUGUUCCCCAACUUCCAGUGGUGCUGCUCAUGGAGACGCUGAGAUGGGACCCAAAGACCUGCUCCCGUCUUCUCUCCUGAGAGGCUUGCAGAAGCCCCUUUCUCAGAGUCACCCCUCCCAGGCUGAGGUGAAGAAGCUGAAAAGGGAAGGGCCAUAAUGCUAAGGCUGGGGCAGGGGACAGCGGCACCCUCCAUGCACUCUCCUGAUUAGUGCAGGUAAACAUAAGGGUUUCCCCCAAAUGCGAGGGUUCUCCUUCUGUGCCAUGGAAGGCCCCACCAGCACCUGCUGCCCCUCCUGUUCGUCCUCCCUCUCUUCAGCCCCACAAUUAACAAGAGCAAGUUGUUGAGGCAAGCUCUACCCCAGGCCUGCGUUAAGAAAUUUGGAUGGGAUAGGCCGGGCGCGGUGGCUCACGCCUGUAAUCCCAGCACUUUGGGAGGCCGAGAAGGGCGGAUCACGAGGUCAGGAGAUUGAGACUGUCCUGGCUAACAUGGUGAAACCCCGUCUUUACCAAAAAUACAAAAAAUUAGCCGGGCAUUGUGGUGAGCGCCUGUAGUCCCAGCUACUUAGGAGGCUGAGGCAGGAGAAUGGAGUGAACCUGGGAGGCGGAGGUUGCAGUGAGUCAAGAUCGCACCACUGCACUCCAGCCUGGGCGACAGAUCAAGACUCCAUCUCAAAAAAAAAAAAAAAAAAGAAAGAAAGAAAGAAAUUUGGGUGGGAGAGUAGAAGUAAGAGACAUUUCCUUAGUGUUUACUGCAAACCCCGCCAGGCUAGAGGUGCCAUAAUCUGCCCUGUAUCAGAUCCAGAGAGUCAUCCCACCAAAACCCCCCAGGAUGUAUGUGAGACCACCGGAAUCAUUGGCACUGGCAAAUAAGAAGAUGGCCAGUAAGCAAUCAACACUGAGUGCCCACUGCGUGCUUGGCACUGGGCCAGACUCUGCUGCGGGAGACUGGGGGAAAGGCCCAUUUCACUGGUCUUGCGUUCUACAUACCAUGUUAGGCCAGAGAGGUACAUAAUAAAAAUACUGGAGACUCUCAUGCUUGAGUAUAAUCCUAUAAUCUUAUUCCCACUCCCAUUCAGAUGUGUGGUCAUAUAUGAAUGUCAAGCACACAAGCUAGACAGAAGAAAGAACUUCCCUAGGUUGUCAGUGCUGUAGAGUAAAAUCAUCAGACUCGAAGGCUUCAUUCUUGGAAGGUGAUGAACCGGGAGAGCCCACGCUUUGCUGGGCCAGGAGUAAAGUAAGGCUCCUGUCUGAAGACAGGGGGAUGGUUGAGAUGACACAAGAUGCUACCCAGGAAAAGGCAGAGAGGUAAAGUUUCCAGUAGAUGGGCAUGAGGAGGAGGGACAGAUGGAUGGAGGGAUGGAGGGGUGCAGGGAGCAGUGCUGGAGAGAUGAAUGGUCUUGGCUGGACUGAUGGGCGAGGCCAAGAUAGAUGGAUGGCGGCUGAGGUUUGUUUACUGGCAGCCCCCAGCCCGCCAUCACCCAGGGGAGAGGAAUGGUGGCUGGCACAUCAGAGGGCUCUUAGGGAAGCUCAUGGAGAUGAUUUAGAUGGGAAUGAAUCAGCUCCAUAUGGAUUAAGUGUCCCCGCAAAUCCCAGGAUCUUACAGAUGAGGGGACGGGGCAAGGGCACUGAGGGGAGGGGAGAGAGUGGGGAAGCAGCGUGGAGCUGGUGCAGGGAAACACAGUCCUGGAGCCAGGGGAAGGGCACCCUCAGAGGGCAUGGGGCAGGUCAGCCUGGCACAGAUGCAGCCCCUGCCUUGGUCUGUUGAUACCAUUAUUCCUCUUGCGUGGUACCAAGCUUUAGGAAAAGGCCGCUUUCUCCACACCAAACCAUCUGUUGGAGUGUCCUUUCUGAGUCAGUUUUGGUCUGUCUCCUCUUGCCUCUGUCUCUUGUUCUGUCUACAUCUUCAUCUGUCUUUCGUCUUCAUUUUUCUGUCCCUCUCACUACCUAGCCUUGUCUGUGUUUCUGUCUCUCUCCUUCCGCACUCCUCCGCCACGUCUUUCCGUCUCUUUCUCUAGAGGUAUAAAUGGUACAGGGAUGCUGCCAGUUUCUCUGAACUUCAGCCUUAGCUCUGCCCUCCUCUCCAGGGGUCAGGUCUAAUGCCUCCCUCCCUCUGUACUGUUCUCUCACGCAGACCACAAGUUUGGAGGUGGUCAACAGAACAGGGAAGGUGGUCAGAAAAGUGACUUUUUGGCUACAGAAAGUUAUUUGUGUUCCUCUCUGCCACCCUGCCCUCGUGCCUUCAGCUGUCCCUUCUCCCGGUGCCAGAGGAGGCUUGGAUUGAGCACCCAUGCUCUAUGGACAACAUGUCUUCCCACUCAGGUUUGGAGAGGCUGUUCUGUCCACACCAGCCUGUAACUUCUUGCCUCCUUUCACCCCUCCACACCCACUUGCAUGGCUCUCUGAGGAACAGAGCCCCACCCUUCCAUCACCACCCUCCACCAACGCACCCCUGGGUGCUGGCAUAAUACGCAAGCUUCACAGAUGGCUUUUCUCAGCUGAAGCCCAGUCCCUGCUGCCACCACCCGGCCGCCAAGCAAGAGGGAAGGUGG